GCUGGCGGCGUGCCUAAUACAUGCAAGUCGAGCGAACUGAUUAGAAGCUUGCUUCUAUGACGUUAGCGGCGGACGGGUGAGUAACACGUGGGCAACCUGCCUGUAAGACUGGGAUAACUUCGGGAAACCGAAGCUAAUACCGGAUAGGAUCUUCUCCUUCAUGGGAGAUGAUUGAAAGAUGGUUUCGGCUAUCACUUACAGAUGGGCCCGCGGUGCAUUAGCUAGUUGGUGAGGUAACGGCUCACCAAGCAACGAUGCAUAGCCGACCUGAGAGGGUGAUCGGCCACACUGGGACUGAGACACGGCCCAGACUCCUACGGGAGGCAGCAGUAGGGAAUCUUCCGCAAUGGACGAAAGUCUGACGGAGCAACGCCGCGUGAGUGAUGAAGGCUUUCGGGUCGUAAAACUCUGUUGUUAGGGAAGAACAAGUACAAGAGUAACUGCUUGUACCUUGACGGUACCUAACCAGAAAGCCACGGCUAACUACGUGCCAGCAGCCGCGGUAAUACGUAGGUGGCAAGCGUUAUCCGGAAUUAUUGGGCGUAAAGCGCGCGCAGGCGGUUUCUUAAGUCUGAUGUGAAAGCCCACGGCUCAACCGUGGAGGGUCAUUGGAAACUGGGGAACUUGAGUGCAGAAGAGAAAAGCGGAAUUCCACGUGUAGCGGUGAAAUGCGUAGAGAUGUGGAGGAACACCAGUGGCGAAGGCGGCUUUUUGGUCUGUAACUGACGCUGAGGCGCGAAAGCGUGGGGAGCAAACAGGAUUAGAUACCCUGGUAGUCCACGCCGUAAACGAUGAGUGCUAAGUGUUAGAGGGUUUCCGCCCUUUAGUGCUGCAGCUAACGCAUUAAAGCACUCCGCCUGGGGAGUACGGUCGCAAGACUGAAACUCAAAGGAAUUGACGGGGGCCCGCACAAGCGG
RNAcentral lists this ribosomal RNA (917 nucleotides) under Priestia megaterium. RNAcentral describes it as "bacterial SSU rRNA". It matches the Rfam family "Bacterial small subunit ribosomal RNA", at positions 35 to 932 of the family's 1533-position model. Lineage: Bacteria; Bacillati; Bacillota; Bacilli; Caryophanales; Bacillaceae. The record is from RNAcentral.